AACGAACGCUGGCGGCAUGCCUAACACAUGCAAGUCGAACGAGACCUUCGGGUCUAGUGGCGCACGGGUGCGUAACGCGUGGGAACCUGCCCUUAGGUUCGGAAUAACUCCCCGAAAGGGGUGCUAAUACCGGAUAAUGUCUUCGGACCAAAGAUUUAUCGCCUUUGGAUGGGCCCGCGUUGGAUUAGCUAGUUGGUAGGGUAAAAGCCUACCAAGGCGACGAUCCAUAGCUGGUCUGAGAGGAUGAUCAGCCACACUGGGACUGAGACACGGCCCAGACUCCUACGGGAGGCAGCAGUGGGGAAUAUUGGACAAUGGGCGAAAGCCUGAUCCAGCAAUGCCGGGUGUGUGAUGAAGGCCUUAGGGUUGUAAAGCUCUUUUACCCGGGAUGAUAAUGACAGUACCGGGAGAAUAAGCUCCGGCUAACUCCGUG
This 433-nucleotide ribosomal RNA is filed under the name uncultured bacterium. RNAcentral describes it as "partial 16S ribosomal RNA". It matches the Rfam family "Bacterial small subunit ribosomal RNA", at positions 29 to 507 of the family's 1533-position model. The record is from RNAcentral.